UAUGGAUUCAUUACAAUCAGGGCAUGGAUAGCCUUCAAGAUGAGUACUUAGAAGGGAUUUUAAUUCCUCGGAACUGGAAAUGCUAGAAAAAUCUAAUUGUUGCUUAGCAGUUUCGAGUUUUAUACACCCGCACAUAGUUGCUGAUUUUGAUAUGGCUCGGUUUAAACGAGCAGAAGCAUCUUGUAAUUUUGUCAUUUGAUCUAGUAUACUUUUAUUGCGUAAAAUUAAGUCAUCUAUAAAGUUCUGAAAUUGUUCAAGUUCAGUAGACUCUAUCAUUUUAAACAUCACUCCUAAACCAUAACGUUGGUGUAUCUUUAGAUAGUAGUAUAGCAUAAAUGGAAAAAUUUUGAAAGUUGUAAAACUAAUAGAUGGAUAAAAAAACCAAAAAAAAAUAUACAAACUUUUAGUGAAUUUAUGUUAUAAUACUACAUUGUACAGUAAGAGGACAGAAUAUAUAAGUAAAGAGGUAUGAUAUGAAACUAAGUUUUAAUUUUGAAGGAACCAAGAUCGAUUAUGACCUAACAUACAAAAAAAGAACUAGCAUUGCUAUUAAUGUAGAUGAAGAUGGUAGUGUUAAAGUGUUAGCUCCUGUAGGUACACCUCUAUUUAGUGUCAUGGAUAAAGUAAAGGGGAAUGCAGAUUGGAUCUUAGGUGAACUUUUACGUAUACAACGUGCAAAAGAAUAUGCAAAUCACUGUAUGUAUUUAGGUAAAAACUAUGGAAUUGAAUUUGUAGAAGAUGAAACAAAGGAAAAUCCUGUUGUUAAAUUAGUAAGAGGAAAAUUUGUUGUUGAAGGACAAAAUAUUACUAAAGAAACAAUGAUGUUGCCUUUAUGUGAAUGGUACAUAACAAAAACAAUGAGUAAACUUAAAGAACGCGUAAAAGUUUAUAAUGAGCAAUUUGAAAAAAUGCCAAAGAAAGUUGAUGUGAAAAUACUUCAAAAUAGACUUUGGUAUAUAGACGAAGAUCAAAUCAUUUUCGAUGUGAAUAUUGGAGUAGGCCCUGUGAAUUUAAUUGACAGUGUUUUAGUAGAAGCACUUUGUAGAUUUAAUGGAAUCGAAGAUAGUAAUAGUGUUUUAGCUAAAAUGGUACCUGAAUCAGAACAAGCAAGAGAAUGGGUAAAUAUAAAUAAAGAUCGUUUUAUCUUUAGAUAAUGCUUUCGAGUAUUAUCUUUUUUCUAUAAAUUCUAUAAUGGAUAUAACUUAUAGAAAAAAGAUAAAUAGAUAUUAAGAAGAAGUUUCAUGUGUAUAAAUAAUAUAGCAUGUAACUUCUUUUUUUAUACUAAGAAAGUUGAGAAUUUACAGGAAAAAUAUAGGAAAGUUUGAUUUAAAAAAGACGACAAAAAAAUGCAGAAAAACUGUUGACAUACAUAUGCACUUUUAGUAUACUUCAUAGAGUCAGCGGCGGGCGUAAAGCACUGACACAAAUAGAAUAUCCCAUUUUGGGGGCGUAGCUCAGCUGGGAGAGCACCUGCCUUGCACGCAGGGGGUCAAGGGUUCGAACCCCUUCGUCUCCAUUGUCCAUAAUUGGACAACAUUGUACUUUGAAAACUAAACAUAAUCAAAUAAUAGAUUUGAAAGAAAUUUUGAAUCUACAAUUUAACCGAUAACGAAGUUCUUAAUUUAUUGAACGUUAGUGAAAAUAAAUUUUAGAAAUUCGAAAUACUAAUAUUACAGAUUGUUAGUUUCGUAGAAACGUUACAAGAUGUUAUAUGAGUGAAAUUAAUACUUAUUCUGUUAUAUUUAACAAGAACAAGGCAAAUAUUCAAUGACACAAUCAUUGUAUAUAGGUCAAGCUACUAAGAGCGUAGAGUGGAUGCCUUGGCACCGAGAGCCGAUGAAGGACGUGAUAAGCUGCGAAAAGCUACGGGGAGUUGCAAAUAAACUUUGAUCCGUAGAUGUCCGAAUGGGGAAACCCGGCUGAGCAAACCUCAGUCAUCAUACAGCCAAUANACCAGUGAAGAUGCUGGUUACCCGCGACAGGACGGAAAGACCCCGUGGAGCUUUACUGUAACUUGAUACUGAGGUUGGGUAUUACAUGUACAGGAUAGGAGGGAGGCUAAGAAGUGUGGACGCCAGUCUGCAUGGAGCCGCCGGUGGGAUACCUCUCUUGUAAUACUUAACUUCUAACCAUAGCCCGUGAUCCGGGUUUGGGACAAUGUCAGGUGGACAGUUUGACUGGGGCGGUCGCCUCCGAAAGAGUAACGGAGGCGCUCAAAGGUAACCUCAGAAUGGUCGGAAACCAUUCGUAGAGUGCAAAGGCAGAAGGUUGCUUGACUGCGACACCGACGGGUGGAGCAGGUACGAAAGUAGGACUUAGUGAUCCGGUGGUAUGAAAGUGGGAUUGCCAUCGCUCAACGGAUAAAAGCUACCCCGGGGAUAACAGGCUUAUCUCCCCCAAGAGUUCACAUCGACGGGGAGGUUUGGCACCUCGAUGUCGGCUCAUCGCAUCCUGGAGCUGAAGCAGGUUCCAAGGGUUGGGCUGUUCGCCCAUUAAAGCGGUACGCGAGCUGGGUUCAGAACGUCGUGAGACAGUUCGGUCCCUAUCCGUCGUGGGCGUAGGAAGUUUGAGAGGCGUUGUCCUUAGUACGAGAGGACCGGGAUGAACAGACCGCUGGUGCAUCUGUUAGGCUGCCAAGCCUAUAGCAGAGUAGCUAAGUCUGGAGCUGAUAAACGCUGAAGGCAUCUAAGCGUGAAACAGACCUCAAGAUAAGACUUCCCAUCCAGAAAUGGAGUAAGACCCCUUGUAGACUACGAGGUAGAUAGGUUGGAGGUGUAAGCAUGGUAACAUGUGUAGCUGACCAAUACUAACGGUUCGAGGGUUUGACCU
Molecule: transfer RNA, 2829 nt
Filed under: Niameybacter massiliensis
Lineage: Bacteria; Bacillati; Bacillota; Clostridia; Lachnospirales; Lachnospiraceae
Description: bacterial LSU rRNA
Rfam family: Bacterial large subunit ribosomal RNA (bases 1789-2829)
Source: RNAcentral